CUUGCUCUACAUAAGAGGUCCAGCCUGCCCAGUGACAUAGUUCAACGGCCGCGGUAUCCUAACCGUGCGAAGGUAGCGUAAUCACUUGUUCUUUAAAUAAGGACUAGUAUGAAAGGCACCACGAGAGUCAUACUGUCUCCUUUCUCUAAUCAGUGAAACUAAUCCCCCCGUGAAGAAGCGGGAAUAAGAAUAUAAGACGAGAAGACCCCAUGGAGCUUUAAACAAAUAACACCUGCCCCCCAACCCCUAACUUCAGAGAAAUUUUUUAUCCUGGCAUCAUGAUUAUUAGUUUUCGGUUGGGGUGACCACGGAACAAAAAACAACCUCCGCAAUGAAAGCACAUCCACUUAAUCAAGAGCUACAACCCGACACAUCAACAAAUUGACACAAUUGACCCAACAUAUUGAUCAAUGAAC
Molecule: ribosomal RNA, 416 nt
Filed under: Adenomera nana group sp. ABGD cluster 33
Lineage: Eukaryota; Metazoa; Chordata; Amphibia; Anura; Leptodactylidae
Description: partial large subunit ribosomal RNA
Rfam family: Bacterial large subunit ribosomal RNA
Source: RNAcentral